GACGAACGCUGGCGGCGUGCUUAACACAUGCAAGUCGAACGGAAAGGCCCUGCUUUUGUGGGGUGCUCGAGUGGCGAACGGGUGAGUAACACGUGAGUAACCUGCCCUUGACUUUGGGAUAACUUCAGGAAACUGGGGCUAAUACCGGAUAGGAGCUCCUGCUGCAUGGUGGGGGUUGGAAAGUUUCGGCGGUUGGGGAUGGACUCGCGGCUUAUCAGCUUGUUGGUGGGGGAGUGGCUUACCAAGGCUUUGACGGGUAGCCGGCCUGGGAGGGUGACCGGCCACAUUGGGACUGAGAUACGGCCCAGACUCCUACGGGAGGCAGCAGUGGGGAAUAUUGCACAAUGGGCGGAAGCCUGAUGCAGCAACGCCGCGGGCGGGAUGACGGCCUUCGGGUUGUAAACCGCUUUCGCCUGUGACGAAGCGUGAGUGACGGUAAUGGGUAAAGAAGCACCGGCUAACUACGUG
RNAcentral lists this ribosomal RNA (468 nucleotides) under uncultured bacterium. Its description in RNAcentral is "partial 16S ribosomal RNA". It matches the Rfam family "Bacterial small subunit ribosomal RNA", at positions 28 to 507 of the family's 1533-position model. The record is from RNAcentral.